This is a long non-coding RNA of Gadus macrocephalus (Pacific cod), 1720 nucleotides long. RefSeq lists it as uncharacterized. NCBI's taxonomy places the organism in Eukaryota, Metazoa, Chordata, Actinopteri, Gadiformes, Gadidae. The transcript is spliced from 5 exons. The record is from RefSeq and is a predicted model, not a curated record.
ACAAGGCUGUUGCUGCUGUGUGUUGCAUUCUACACGUUCACAGCUAACACAUUUAUGAGUUCUGUUUGAACCAUGAUCCAUUAAUGUUAAUCUAAAACAAUAUAAUUGAAUUGGUUGUAGAGGAAACCAUAGGCGUACGUGAUUACCAGGAUCUUCAUCCGUUUGUGUUGCUGUUGGAAAACACUAUCACUUGAAUGAACCCUGCAGCGGUGGUGAUGGACGGCAGAGAGCCUCACAAUACCAUGAGUGGGCUUGCUCUCAGAGGAAAGGAAGAAAUAAAUAGUAUCCUUUUGACAAGCUGAAGUCUACCAGCAUAUAUUCAAUCGUGAAUACCUGCCUGUCCUUGAAAAGCAAAGGUUCAGUUCAGGGAAAUUAUUGUGGAACAAGGUACCUUAUUUUUGUAGAUUUGGGCUGUAUUUACAAAUGUAAAAUACUUGGUAUUCAAUGCAGUCGCUUGUCAAUUCUGAUUGAAUUUAGUUUUGCAGUACACAUCACUUGACACUAGAGGCCAGGUAUGUCUUCAUCUCACUGUAACUGAGUCAAAGACCCUAAUAUUGUUUCCUUCCGUUUGUAUGUUGUAACCAUAAUUUAAAUAUUUGUUGUAGUUUGGUUCUUUAAUUGCUUUAAUGGGAAACUGAAACCACUGGGCAAAUUAGUGUUUGCUAUUCGCCAAUUCUUCAAAUUAUUGGUGAAUAAUUGGGUGACAUCAAGCAGAGUUACCUGUCGUACAGCUGUGUGUUAACUCUCUCGCGGUUUACUUUGUUUUCUCAUUAGGUUGGUCCCAUGUUGUUGGUGACUUGGACGGUGAGCAAAGACCACAAGAGCAGGAGGAAUCCCGCACCAGGGAGAGCAACGAUAGAACCUAGCAGCUGCUCACCAAGCGGUGUCAGGGGACACCUGCCGGUCAUAAGCCAACAAACUCGGCUGGACCUGUGAGGAGAUGGUCAACCGCUACGUGGUGUGUUGGUGAAAUUUACGUUGAGGAACGACCACAAGAGCAGUAGGAAUCCAGCACCACGGAGAGCAGCCAUGGAAACUAGGAACAACCAUGGAAGCACUGUUGAGAAAACUGUUGGAGGCGAACAGGGCACAGCUAGCCAGUAGCCUGGAGCUGCUGGGAGUGCUGACAGCCGGUCAUGUCGGCAGGGCUGCAGGUGCGGCAGUGUCCUGCCCAGGGCCCCAGCAGGUUUGUCUCGCCGCAAGAGACGCAGCCGCUGCCGCAAGAGAGACGCAGCCCCCGCCGCCGCAAUAGACGCAGCCCCCGCCGCCGCAAGAGACGCAGCCGCCGCCGCCGCAAGAGACGCAGCCGCCGCCGCCGCAAGAGACGCAGCCGCCACAAGACCGUAGGUCUGGCAACCUGCUGGCUCCACCUCCAAGCCAUAUAUGGACUUCCUCACUUUAACGAGGCGAGCCUGGGGAUCAUUAAGCAGGGGUGCUUGUGCUUAAAAGAGCUAGCAAAUCACAGACAGGGGAGGUUAGAGCUGGUGCUGGUGCUAGGGCUAUCACAGGACAGGCAGGAUCUGUGUGAUCACCUGGAAGCACGGAUCGGGCUGAGGGAAAGAGAUGGGUGGAAAGAAUUGUACUGUUUCAUAUAAGAGGUGGAUGACCCUUUUCCCACCCUUGUUGGAUUUGGGAGGUAAAUAAACCAUUUGGCUUUGGACCUGCUCUCGGUGUUGUCAUAAUAUCUGUUCGACUUGGUAGCGUGGAAACCCCACACCCA